This is a long non-coding RNA of Eriocheir sinensis (Chinese mitten crab), 753 nucleotides long. RefSeq lists it as uncharacterized. The transcript has 4 exons. Lineage: Eukaryota; Metazoa; Arthropoda; Malacostraca; Decapoda; Varunidae. The record is from RefSeq and is a predicted model, not a curated record.
CCCACUUAAGAACUGAACCGUUGUUAAGUUACUCAUUUAGUGUGUGUUUGACGAGUUCGUGUACUGAAAAAAGCAUAAGAACUUGACCGAACGUAUAUACCUCUUCGUGUGUGUUUGACCAGUGAGUGUUUAGAGACAUAGUAAGAACUGAACCAAAACUUAAAUUACUCUCUUAGUGGAAUUUUGACGCGUGGGUGAAAGUUUAAUCAAAUGGUGGAGUGAAAACCUAACAGUGUAAGAGACUCAAUUCGGACAUAAGGCGCCUUCUUUGUGGUUUAGUUACCAGGAAAAGUUAAGCAAAAUACGGAGAAGUAGAAAUAUAGUAUAAAAGUGAACCGCUACUACUUCUACUAUCUCCACCACCACUACUACUACUACUACUACUACUUCAAGAACUGCAACUACCUAUACUACCACCGCCUUUGCCUCCACUACUGUCACUACCAUCACUGCUACCACCCAUACGUCCUCUACCACACUGCUACCUCUGUUUCCAUCGCCCUCACCAACACCACCGUCGCCGUGUCUGUUAUCGCCGCCAGGACUCAAGAUUUUACCCGGCGGCGUUCAGUCACCUGGAUGGGAUGACAGCUCAAGACGCCAAACAAAAAGCAAAAAAAAAAAAAAAAUCGUACUCUGUGAUGUCCUUCCACCGAGCUCAGGUUAACUACUUCACAGCCGCGCCCCGUCACACACCUUGAGUCACGCCACACAGGUUUAGCGUCAAGGCGUCAUCGGGAAGACAUCUGCAAG